RNAcentral lists this ribosomal RNA (1418 nucleotides) under Staphylococcus arlettae. RNAcentral describes it as "partial 16S ribosomal RNA". It matches the Rfam family "Bacterial small subunit ribosomal RNA", at positions 136 to 1455 of the family's 1533-position model. Lineage: Bacteria; Bacillati; Bacillota; Bacilli; Caryophanales; Staphylococcaceae. The record is from RNAcentral.
GACUGGAAUAACUCCGGGAAACCGGGGCUAAUGCCGGAAACAUUUAGAACCGCAGGGUUCUAAAGUGAAAGAUGGUUUUGCUAUCACUUAUAGAUGGACCCGCGCCGUAUUAGCUAGUUGGUAAGGUAAUGGGCUUAACAAGGCAACGAUACGUAUGCCGACCUGAGAGGGUGAUCGGCCACACUGGAACUGAGACACGGUCCAGACUCCUACGGGAGGCAGCAGAUAGGGAAUCUUCCGCAAUGGGCGAAAGCCCUGACGGAGACAACGCCGCGUGAGUAAUGAAAGGCUUCCGCAUCGUAAAACUCUUGGUUAUUACGGAAGAAACACAACGUGUAAGUAAACUGUGUCACGUCUUGACGGUACCUAUACAUCAGAAAGGCCACGGCUAACUACGUGGCCAGCAGACGGCGGUAAUAAGUAGGUGGCGAAGAGCUAUUCUCGGAAUUAAUUGGGCGUAAAGCGCGCGUAGGGCGGUUUCUUUAAGUCUGAUGUGAAAAGACCCACCGCCUCAACCCGCGGAGGGUCACUUGGAAAAUGGGAGACUUGAGUGCAGAAGAGGAAAAGUGGAGAUUCCAUGUGUAGCGGUGAAAUGCGCAGAGAUAUGGAGGAACACCAGUGGCGAAGGCGACUCUCUGGUCUGUAACUGACGCUGAUGUGCGAAAGCGUGGGGAUCACAACAGGAUAAGAUACCCCGGUAGUCCACGCCGUAAACGAUGAGUGCUAAGUGUUAGGGGGUGUCCGCCCCCUAGUGCUGCAGCUAAAGCAUUAAGCACUCCGCCUGGGCGAGUACGACCGCAAGGUUGAAACUCAAAGGAAUUGACGGGGACCCGCACAAGCGGUGGAGCAUGUGGUUUAAUUUCGAAGCAACGCGAAGAACCUUACCAAAUCUUGACAUCCUUUGACCACCUCUAGAGAUAGAGCCUUCCCCUUCGGGGGACAAAAUGAACAGGUGGUGCAUGGUGGUCGUCAGCUCGUGUCGUGAAGAUGUUGGGUUAAGUCCCGCAACGAGCGCAACCCCUAAAAUUAGUUGCCAGCAUAUAGUUGGGCACUCUAGCUUGACAGCCGGUGACAAACCGAGGGAAGGGGGGGAGGACGUCAAAUCCAUCACGCCCCCUAUGAUUUGGCGUACACACGUGCUACAAUGGACAAUACAAAGGGCAGCUAAACCGCGAGGUCACGCAAAUCCAAUAAAGUUGUUCCUUCAGUUUGGAUUGUAGUGUGCAACUCGACUACACGAAGAGGGAAUCGCUAGUAAUAGUAGAUCAGCCCGCUACGGUGAAUACGUUUCCGGGUCUUGUACACACCCCCCCUCACACCCCCAGAGUUUUAACACCCGAAGCCCGGGGGGGGGCCCCCCCCCCCCCUUUUUGUUUUUGGCGGGCAACGGUGCGGGGCUCACCUCAUAGAGUUCCCGA